UAAUCCCCCCAGUGAUGCCGAUGGUC
This 26-nucleotide non-coding RNA is filed under the name Mus musculus (house mouse). Lineage: Eukaryota; Metazoa; Chordata; Mammalia; Rodentia; Muridae. The record is from RNAcentral.